CUGGCGGCGUGCCUAACACAUGCAAGUUCGAACGAAUGAAGCCUAACUUGCUAGGUGGAUUAGUGGCCGAACGGGUGAGUAAUACGUUGAGUUGACCUACCUUUUGACUCUGGGAUAAGCCCUGGGAAACUGGGUCUAAUACCGGAUACGACCAAUCUCCGCAUGGGGUGUUGGUGGAAAGCGUUAUGGAGUGGUUUUAGAUGGGCUCACGGCCUAUCAGCUUGUUGGUGAGGUAAUGGCUUACCAAGGCGACGACGGGUAGCCGGCCUGAGAGGGUGACCGGCCACACUGGGACUGAGACACGGCCCAGACUCCUACGGGAGGCAGCAGUGGGGAAUAUUGCACAAUGGGCGCAAGCCUGAUGCAGCGACGCCGCGUGAGGGAUGACGGCCUUCGGGUUGUAAACCUCUGUUAGCAUCGAAGAAGCGAAAGUGACGGUAGGUGCAGAGAAAGCGCCGGCUAACUACGUGCCAGCAGCCGCGGUAAUACGUAGGGCGCGAGCGUUGUCCGGAAUUAUUGGGCGUAAAGAGCUUGUAGGCGGUUGGUCGCGUCUGCUGUGAAAGGCUGGGGCUUAACCCUGGUUUUGCAGUGGGUACGGGCUAACUAGAGUGCAGUAGGGGAGACUGGAAUUCCUGGUGUAGCGGUGGAAUGCGCAGAUAUCAGGAGGAACACCGAUGGCGAAGGCAGGUCUCUGGGCUGUAACUGACGCUGAGAAGCGAAAGCAUGGGGAGCGAACAGGAUUAGAUACCCUGGUAGUCCAUGCCGUAAACGUUGGGCACUAGGUGUGGGGGACAUUCCACGUUUUCCGCGCCGUAGCUAACGCAUUAAGUGCCCCGCCUGGGGAGUACGGCCGCAAGGCUAAAACUCAAAGAAAUUGACGGGGGCCCGCACAAGCGGCGGAGCAUGCGGAUUAAUUCGAUGCAACGCGAAGAACCUUACCAAGGCUUGACAUAUACUGGACUGCGUCAGAGAUGGCGUUUCCCUUCGGGGCUGGUAUACAGGUGGUGCAUGGUUGUCGUCAGCUCGUGUCGUGAGAUGUUGGGUUAAGUCCCGCAACGAGCGCAACCCUCGUUCUAUGUUGCCAGCACGUGAUGGUGGGGACUCAUAGGAGACUGCCGGGGUCAACUCGGAGGAAGGUGGGGAUGACGUCAAAUCAUCAUGCCCCUUAUGUCUUGGGCUUCACGCAUGCUACAAUGGCCGGUACAGAGGGUUGCGAUACUGUGAGGUGGAGCUAAUCCCUAAAAGCCGGUCUCAGUUCGGAUUGGGGUCUGCAAACUCGACCCCUUGAAGUCGGAGUCGCUAGUGAAUCGCAGAAUCAGGCAAACGGCUGCGGUAAAUACGUUUCCCGGACU
RNAcentral lists this ribosomal RNA (1352 nucleotides) under uncultured bacterium. RNAcentral's name for it is "bacterial SSU rRNA". It matches the Rfam family "Bacterial small subunit ribosomal RNA", at positions 36 to 1381 of the family's 1533-position model. The record is from RNAcentral.